UAGGGAAUCUUCCGCAAUGGGCGAAAGCCUGACGGAGCAACGCCGCGUGAGUGAUGAAGGUCUUCGGAUCGUAAAACUCUGUUAUUAGGGAAGAACAAAUGUGUAAGUAACUAUGCACGUCUUGACGGUACCUAAUCAGAAAGCCACGGCUAACUACGUGCCAGCAGCCGCGGUAAUACGUAGGUGGCAAGCGUUAUCCGGAAUUAUUGGGCGUAAAGCGCGCGUAGGCGGUUUUUUAAGUCUGAUGUGAAAGCCCACGGCUCAACCGUGGAGGGUCAUUGGAAACUGGAAAACUUGAGUGCAGAGAAGGAAAGUGGAAUUCCAUGUGUAGCGGUGAAAUGCGCAGAGAUAUGGAGGAACACCAGUGGCGAAGGCGACUUUCUGGUCUGUAACUGACGCUGAUGUGCGAAAGCGUGGGGAUCAAACAGG
Molecule: ribosomal RNA, 429 nt
Filed under: Actinomycetes bacterium
Lineage: Bacteria; Bacillati; Actinomycetota; Actinomycetes
Description: Actinobacteria bacterium partial 16S ribosomal RNA
Rfam family: Bacterial small subunit ribosomal RNA
Source: RNAcentral